Molecule: ribosomal RNA, 497 nt
Filed under: uncultured bacterium
Lineage: Bacteria
Description: partial 16S ribosomal RNA
Rfam family: Bacterial small subunit ribosomal RNA
Source: RNAcentral
GAUGAACGCUGGCGGCGUGCCUAAUACAUGCAAGUCGAGCGAACAGACGAGGAGCUUGCUCCUCUGACGUUAGCGGCGGACGGGUGAGUAACACGUGGGUAACCUACCUAUAAGACUGGGAUAACUUCGGGAAACCGGAGCUAAUACCGGAUAAUAUAUUGAACCGCAUGGUUCAAUAGUGAAAGACGGUUUUGCUGUCACUUAUAGAUGGAUCCGCGCCGCAUUAGCUAGUUGGUAAGGUAACGGCUUACCAAGGCAACGAUGCGUAGCCGACCUGAGAGGGUGAUCGGCCACACUGGAACUGAGACACGGUCCAGACUCCUACGGGAGGCAGCAGUAGGGAAUCUUCCGCAAUGGGCGAAAGCCUGACGGAGCAACGCCGCGUGAGUGAUGAAGGCCUUCGGAUCGUAAAACUCUGUUAUUAGGGAAGAACAAAUGUGUAAGUAACUAUGCACGUCUUGACGGUACCUAAUCAGAAAGCCACGGCUAACUACGUG